This 407-nucleotide ribosomal RNA is filed under the name uncultured Nereida sp. RNAcentral describes it as "bacterial SSU rRNA". It matches the Rfam family "Bacterial small subunit ribosomal RNA", at positions 396 to 820 of the family's 1533-position model. Lineage: Bacteria; Pseudomonadati; Pseudomonadota; Alphaproteobacteria; Rhodobacterales; Roseobacteraceae. The record is from RNAcentral.
GCCGCGUGUGUGACGAAGGCCUUAGGGUCGUAAAGCACUUUCGCCAGAGAUGAUAAUGACAGUAUCUGGUAAAGAAACCCCGGCUAACUCCGUGCCAGCAGCCGCGGUAAUACGGAGGGGGUUAGCGUUGUUCGGAAUUACUGGGCGUAAAGCGUACGUAGGCGGAUUAGUAAGUUAGAGGUGAAAUCCCAGGGCUCAACCCUGGAACUGCCUUUAAUACUGCUAGUCUAGAGUUCGAGAGAGGUGAGUGGAAUUCCAAGUGUAGAGGUGAAAUUCGUAGAUAUUUGGAGGAACACCAGUGGCGAAGGCGGCUCACUGGCUCGAUACUGACGCUGAGGUAGGAAAGUGUGGGGAGCAAACAGGAUUAGAUACCCCGGUAGUCCACACCGUAAACGAGGAAUGCCAGU